CAACGAACACAAAUCGCACAGUGGCAACAACAGUGAAGGGAAGAACACACGAUGUUCCUAUGAAGCUCACCUCCUCAAGCAUGACUCCUUUUUCCUAACCACUCUCACAUAGCCCUUCACUCUGCCAGGGGCUGGGCACUAAAUAAAAUGUGGUGAAGAACCCACCCGUGUUGGUGGCGCCUGUCUUCGCAGAUCCAGCAGUAUGGUGUGGACACAGACAUCACACAGACUGGAAACACUGGCAGCAAACCAAUGUGAGAAAAG
Molecule: long non-coding RNA, 264 nt
Filed under: Mustela putorius furo (domestic ferret)
Lineage: Eukaryota; Metazoa; Chordata; Mammalia; Carnivora; Mustelidae
Description: lncRNA (ENSMPUG00000029088.1)
Source: RNAcentral